GGCCUCGUGGCCUAGUGGUGCGAGCGUCCACCUUGGAUACGGAAGGUCGCUGGUUCAGUCCCCGGCUGAGUCAUACCA
This is a non-coding RNA of Potamilus streckersoni, 78 nucleotides long. The record is from the annotation of a GenBank genome assembly. NCBI's taxonomy places the organism in Eukaryota, Metazoa, Mollusca, Bivalvia, Unionida, Unionidae.